UACGGGGGGGGCAAGCGUUGUUCGGAAUUACUGGGCGUAAAGGGGUUGUAGGUGGCUUGCUAAGUCAGACGUGAAAUCCCUCAGCUUAACUGGGGAACUGCGUCUGAGACUGGCGAGCUUGAGUGCAGGAGAGGAACGCGGAAUUCCAGGUGUAGCGGUGAAAUGCGUAGAUAUCUGGAGGAACACCGGUGGCGAAGGCGGCGUUCUGGACUGCAACUGACACUGAGAAACGAAAGCCAGGGGAGCAAACGGG
RNAcentral lists this ribosomal RNA (253 nucleotides) under uncultured bacterium. RNAcentral describes it as "partial 16S ribosomal RNA". It matches the Rfam family "Bacterial small subunit ribosomal RNA", at positions 524 to 776 of the family's 1533-position model. The record is from RNAcentral.